Molecule: ribosomal RNA, 487 nt
Filed under: uncultured bacterium
Lineage: Bacteria
Description: partial 16S ribosomal RNA
Rfam family: Bacterial small subunit ribosomal RNA
Source: RNAcentral
GAUCAACGCUGGCGGCGUGCCUAACACAUGCAAGUCGAACGAAGUUUCUCCUUCGGGGGAAACUUAGUGGCGGCCGGGUGCGUAACGCGUGGGUAACCUGCCCUGUCCAGGGGGACAACAGCUGUAACCGGCUGCUAAUACCGCUAAAGCCCUUAGCACUGCAUGGUGCAUAGCGAAAGGGAGCAAUCCGGUUCAGGAUGGACCCGCGUCUGAGCAGCCUGCUGGCAAGGUAACGGAUUACCAAGGCGACGCAGCGCAGCGGAUCUGAGAGGAUGUACGGCCACACUGGAACUGAGACACGGUGCAGACUCCUACGGGAGGCAGCAGUAGGGAAUAUUCGGCAAUGGGCGAAAGCCGGACGGAGCAAUGCAGCGUGAGUGAUGAAGGUCUUCGGGUCGUAAAACUCUGUUAUUAGGGAAGAAAAUAUGUGGAAGUAACUGUGGCCAUCUUGACGGUACCUAAUCAGAAAGCAACGGCUAACUACGUG